Molecule: ribosomal RNA, 192 nt
Filed under: uncultured bacterium
Lineage: Bacteria
Description: partial 16S ribosomal RNA
Rfam family: Bacterial small subunit ribosomal RNA
Source: RNAcentral
UAGCUAGUUGGUGAGGUAACGGCUCACCAAGGCGCCGAUGGGUAGCCGACCUGAGAGGGUGACCGGCCACACUGGGACUGAGACACGGCCCAGACUCCUACGGGAGGCAGCAGUAGGGAAUUUUCCGCAAUGGGCGAAAGCCUGACGGAGCAACGCCGCGUGAGGGAAGAAGGUCUUCGGAUCGUAAACCUC